UGGGGAAUUUUCCGCAAUGGGCGAAAGCCUGACGGAGCAACGCCGCGUGAGGGACGAAGGCCUCUGGGCUGUAAACCUCUUUUCUCAAGGAAGAAGAUAUGACGGUACUUGAGGAAUAAGCCACGGCUAAUUCCGUGCCAGCAGCCGCGGUAAUACGGGAGUGGCAAGCGUUAUCCGGAAUUAUUGGGCGUAAAGCGUCCGCAGGCGGCUUUUCAAGUCUGCUGUUAAAGCGUGGAGCUUAACUCCAUCAUGGCAGUGGAAACUGAAAGGCUUGAGUAUGGUAGGGGCAGAGGGAAUUCCCGGUGUAGCGGUGAAAUGCGUAGAUAUCGGGAAGAACACCAGUGGCGAAGGCGCUCUGCUGGGCCAUUACUGACGCUCAUGGACGAAAGCCAGGGGAGCGAAAGGGAUUAGAUACCCCUGUAGUCCUGGCCGUAAACGAUGAACACUAGGUGUCGGGGGAAUCGACCCCUUCGGUGUCGUAGCUAACGCGUUAAGUGUUCCGCCUGGGGAGUACGCACGCAAGUGUG
This 527-nucleotide ribosomal RNA is filed under the name uncultured Prochlorococcus sp. Its description in RNAcentral is "bacterial SSU rRNA". It matches the Rfam family "Bacterial small subunit ribosomal RNA", at positions 355 to 896 of the family's 1533-position model. Lineage: Bacteria; Bacillati; Cyanobacteriota; Cyanophyceae; Synechococcales; Prochlorococcaceae. The record is from RNAcentral.